AGAGUUUGAUCCUGGCUCAGAAUGAACGCUGGCGGCAUGGAUCAGGCAUGCAAGUCGAGCGAGAACGCGGGCUUCGGCCCGUUAGUAAAGCGGCGAAAGGGUGAGUAACGCGUGAGCAACCUGCCCCCGACUCUGGGAUAGCCCCGGGAAACUGGGAUUAAUACCGGAUGCGGCCGUUCGACCGAUUGGUCAUUCGGCCAAAGGUCUGCCGGUCGGGGAUGGGCUCGCGUCCCAUUAGCUUGUUGGUGAGGUAACGGCUCACCAAGGCCGAGACGGGUAGCUGGUCUGAGAGGAUGGUCAGCCACACUGGGACUGAGACCCUGCCCAGACUCCUACGGGAGGCUGCAGUCGAGAAUCAUCCGCAAUGGGCGAAAGCCUGACGGUGCGAUGCCGCGUGAGGGAUGAAGGCCUUCGGGUUGUAAACCUCUGUCAGAAGGGACGAAGAAUGUGACGGUACCUUCAGAGGAAGCCACGGCUAACUACGUGCCAGCAGCCGCGGUAAGACGUAGGUGGCGAGCGUUAUUCGGAUUUACUGGGCGUAAAGGGUCCGUAGGGGGUUUGCCAAGUCUGGUGUGAAAUCCUCCGGCUCAACCGGGGGCGUGCAUUGGAUACUGGCGAACUUGAGUCCGGAAUGGGAGAGCGGAAUUCCUGGUGUAGCGGUGGAAUGCGUAGAUAUCAGGAAGAACACCAGCGGCGAAGGCGGCUCUCUGGUACGUGACUGACCCUGAUGGACGAAAGCGUGGGUAGCAAACAGGAUUAGAUACCCUGGUAGUCCACGCUGUAAACGUUGUGCACUAGAUGUGGGGAGUACUUUGGUCCUCUCCGUGUCCCAGCUAACGCGAUAAGUGCACCGCCUGGGGACUACGGCCGCAAGGUUAAAACUCAAAGGAAUUGACGGGGGCCCGCACAAGCGGUGGAGCAUGUGGCUUAAUUCGAGGCAACGCGAAGAACCUUACCUGGGUUUGACAUGUACAGGACCGCCCUCGAAAGGGGGUUUUCUCUUCGGAGACCUGUUCACAGGUGCUGCAUGGCUGUCGUCAGCUCGUGCCGUGAGGUGUUCGGUUAAGUCCGGCAACGAGCGCAACCCAUGUCGUCAGUUGCUACCGGGUAAUGCCGGGUACUCUGGCGAGACUGCCCGUGUCAAGCGGGAGGAAGGCGUGGAUGACGUCAAGUCCGUAUGGCCCUUACAUCCAGGGCUGCACACGUGCUACAAUGGGCGGCACAAUGGGACGCAAGACCGCGAGGUGGAGCCAAUCCCCAAAACCGUCCUCAGUUCGGAUUGGAGUCUGCAACUCGACUCCAUGAAGCUGGAAUCGCUAGUAAAGGCGUAUCAGCUACGACGCCUUGAAUACGUUCCCGGGCCUUGUACACACCGCCCGUCACAUCAUGGAAGCCGGCUGCACCCGAAGUCCGCGGUCCAACCCCUCGGGGAGGAAACGGCCGAAGGUGUGUCCGGUAACUGGGAUGAAGUCGUAACAAGGUA
This 1483-nucleotide ribosomal RNA is filed under the name metagenome. RNAcentral's name for it is "bacterial SSU rRNA". It matches the Rfam family "Bacterial small subunit ribosomal RNA". The record is from RNAcentral.